Molecule: ribosomal RNA, 520 nt
Filed under: uncultured Glomus
Lineage: Eukaryota; Fungi; Glomeromycota; Glomeromycetes; Glomerales; Glomeraceae
Description: SSU rRNA
Rfam family: Eukaryotic small subunit ribosomal RNA
Source: RNAcentral
AGCAGCCGCGGUAAUUCCAGCUCCAAUAGCGUAUAUUAAAGUUGUUGCAGUUAAAAAGCUCGUAGUUGAAUUUCGGGAUCAAUACGUCGGUCGUGCUUCGGUACGUACUGGUGUCAUUGAUUUCUCCCUUCUGACGAACCAUGAUGUCAUUAACUUGGUGUCAUGGGAAAUCAGGACUGUUACUUUGAAAAAUUAGGGUGUUUAAAGCAGGCUCACGCUUGAAUACAUUAGCAUGGAAUAAUGAAAUAGGACGUUCGAUCCUAUUUUGUUGGUUUCUAGGAUCAACGUAAUGAUUAAUAGGGAUAGUUGGGGGCAUUAGUAUUCAAUUGUCAGAGGUGAAAUUCUUGGAUUUAUUGAAGACUAACUACUGCGAAAGCAUUUGCCAAGGAUGUUUUCAUUAAUCAAGAACGAAAGUUAGGGGAUCGAAGACGAUCAGAUACCGUCGUAGUCUUAACCAUAAACUAUGCCGACUAGGGAUCGGAUGAUGUUAAUUAUUUAAUGACUCAUUCGGCGCCUUAAC